This 492-nucleotide ribosomal RNA is filed under the name uncultured bacterium. Its description in RNAcentral is "partial 16S ribosomal RNA". It matches the Rfam family "Bacterial small subunit ribosomal RNA", at positions 29 to 507 of the family's 1533-position model. The record is from RNAcentral.
AGUGAACGCUGGCGGUAUGCCUAACACAUGCAAGUCGAACGGCAGCACAGUAAGAGCUUGCUCUUACGGGUGGCGAGUGGCGGACGGGUGAGGAAUACAUCGGAAUCUACUUUUUCGUGGGGGAUAACGUAGGGAAACUUACGCUAAUACCGCAUACGACCUACGGGUGAAAGCAGGGGAUCUUCGGACCUUGCGCGAUUGAAUGAGCCGAUGUCGGAUUAGCUAGUUGGCGGGGUAAAGGCCCACCAAGGCGACGAUCCGUAGCUGGUCUGAGAGGAUGAUCAGCCACACUGGAACUGAGACACGGUCCAGACUCCUACGGGAGGCAGCAGUGGGGAAUAUUGGACAAUGGGCGAAAGCCUGAUCCAGCCAUACCGCGUGGGUGAAGAAGGCCUUCGGGUUGUAAAGCCCUUUUGUUGGGAAAGAAAAGCAGCAGGUUAAUACCCCGCUGUUAUGACGGUACCCAAAGAAUAAGCACCGGCUAACUUCGUG